This 301-nucleotide ribosomal RNA is filed under the name uncultured bacterium. RNAcentral's name for it is "partial 16S ribosomal RNA". It matches the Rfam family "Bacterial small subunit ribosomal RNA", at positions 509 to 807 of the family's 1533-position model. The record is from RNAcentral.
CAGCAGCCGCGGUAAAACGUAGGUGGCAAGCGUUGUCCGGAAUUAUUGGGCGUAAAGGGCUCGCAGGCGGUUUCUUAAGUCUGAUGUGAAAGCCCCCGGCUCAACCGGGGAGGGUCAUUGGAAACUGGGAAACUUGAGUGCAGAAGAGGAGAGUGGAAUUCCACGUGUAGCGGUGAAAUGCGUAGAGAUGUGGAGGAACACCAGUGGCGAAGGCGACUCUCUGGUCUGUAACUGACGCAGAGGAGCGAAAGCGUGGGGAGCGAACAGGAUUAGAUACCCCUGUAGUCCCUGUCUCUUAUAC